AUGUGGCGGGCUAUCAUUGUGGGGAGGGAUUCUUUGCAAGUCGGUCUGAUCAAACACAUAGGAGAUGGCAGAUCGGUCUCUAUAUUGGAUGAUAAGUGGAUCCCCGGUACUCUUUCUAUGACUCCGACGGUCAGAAGUAAUAAUACACAAUUGCAAACAGUCUCCGACCUUAUUGAUACGGUUAAUUGGUCGUGGAAAGCGGAUGUGGCCCGUCAAAACUUCAUUACCCCCGAUGCGGAUGCAAUUCUUAACAUCCCCCUGAGGCGGGUGGGGGCGAUGAUGUAUUUGCAUGGGCUCACGAACGGUCGGGAUGCUAUACUAGGAAGGGACGAUCACCGAGACUUCAUCGACAGACAAACAGUUAUGGUCCCGGUUAUGGAAGCUCAAGGUUUUGCCAAGGAGGGAGACAUGAAGCAUGCAUUGCUGGAUUGCACCCACGCGAGACGUUUUUGGAACGCGGCUCCAGACUGGCUUGACAUCAAACGACCAGAGUUGCACCCACUUACAUGGUUUUGGGAUGUUAUAUGCGAUCCUAUGUUCUCUGAGUCUGAGAGAGCAAAAAUGGUUACUGUCAUGUGGGCGAUCUGGACCUCAAGAAACAAUGCCAUGCAUGACAAGAAGGAACUUGAUCCUAUUCAGUCCAUGAAGAAAACCCUAGAAUCUCUAACUGUGCUUGAGCUACCUCGCGACUACGCGCGAAUUUUGUCGGGGCACGGUUGGAGACCGCCAGAGUUGGGCUGGAUCAAGAUCAACACUGAUGGUAGUGUCGCAAUGGAAGCUAGAAGGCGAGGGGCAGGUGGAGUCGCAAGAUCACACUCAUCCUUCCUAGCUGCAUGGUGCAAACCUUACCCAGGAAUCAUAGAUCCUCUUAUAGCCGAAGCACUCGCUCUGCGCGAUGGUGUUCUCUUUGCUCAUCUUCGAGGCUAUUCUGAGGUGGUUUUUGAGUCUGAUAAUUUGGAGAUUGUGAAUCUCUGA
This 975-nucleotide ribosomal RNA is filed under the name Triticum aestivum (bread wheat). RNAcentral's name for it is "partial small subunit ribosomal RNA". Lineage: Eukaryota; Viridiplantae; Streptophyta; Magnoliopsida; Poales; Poaceae. The record is from RNAcentral.